UGAACCAAAAGAUUAACUGCUCUCCAAGCAUCCACUGCGACCCCAAACCUGCUGUACAUCUUCACCAAAGUGAUCUUUAUUUAUUGAAUCGCAGUACUUCUCUUUUCAAUCCUCCUGAUAACUUUCUAUCUGGCCUAAAAUAAAAUUGAAACUCUCCACAGCAAAGCCACUGAGCACACAGCAUCACUCAAUAUACUUUCUGUCAACUUUCUGCUUAAUCUCUUCUUAUUUCUCAGAGAGAAAAAAAAUGAAAUUGUUAUUUUGUUUGAUUCUUUUAUCUUCGCCCUUUGGUUGUUUUCUGUCCCCUCUAGGAUAUUACAAACUUGUAACUAAACUUAGCCCAUGAUAUCUAGAAAUGAAUAAAACUCCUACACACAUCAGAAGUAAGCACAGGGUCGCCUAUCUGAAAACAGGACCAAAGAGUCUUUCCAACUUAUUUGGAAAAACAAAGCUGAGAGCAGUGGUCAGUAUCAUUUUCUGCAAAAAAAAAAAAAAACUAUCCAAAGUUCCCUCGUGGCCAUUUCUUUAUGACAAAGUGGACCACAACUAGAGCAGCUAAAGUGGACCCUCUUGUUCAAAACACCAGGAGAACAUCAUUAAUGUUUAAUAUUUGAGCUCAAGCCAAAGUUUCUGUUUGUAAGUCUCAGGAGGAAAGCAUUUGGAUAAUGGAAUGAUUUCCGGCAGGGCAACACGGGCUCAAACCCACAUGCACUCAUGUCUUUCCCUAGCGUCACUCCCAAAUGCUUAUUUAUUUUAUGUCUCGGGGAUUGCAGUUUAAAGAAGUCCUUCUGGUUCACCGUUAUGUCCACUUGUAUUUGGCGUUCAAAUUAUUUUCUCAUCAAUCCUAUGCCGUGGUAUGUUACUUGAGGAGUAAGUCUUGCAGCUCUCAGAAGUUCGGAGCUGGCUCUGAGCGUAGCAGUCUGAAGAGUAUUACAUCAAGUUCCCGACUCAGGCUGGAGCUUAAGGUUUGAUUUGGGCUACGGAUGAUCAACAGCUGAAAAGCCUUUGUGGGCAGCAAUAUUCAAAGAAGACAAAGCAAGUUGGUGAAAUCUUUGUGUCGCUUUCCCUUCUCUGGAUCCUUACAAAAGAAAGAAAAAAAAUCCUGUUUAUUUUGUGUUGCUUAACACAGGGUUCGCUUAGUAAAUGCGCUUCCUCGCAUGCAUGCAUUUUUUCAGAUGUAGUGACUGCCAGCUGCCAAGCCCCAGUCCUUUCCCUCUAAAUACAGCAGCUUUUCCUUUUUCUUAAAUCUUUCAAGCCCUCCGAAAAGGAGGCAUUUAAUUAAGUGCUACAGAUGAUUGGGGUAUGGAGCUCGGUGAGCCCAACAGUGGAAAGUUGUUAGCAUUUUAAUGAUUGAAUGUUUUAGAGCACAUGCACUUUGGAACAAUUUCGCCGUGUAGAGGAGAAAGUCUUGUCGCAUUUCUGUUGUGAUGUUUUCGUUUGUUACAAAAGCUGAUCAGGAAACUUAAUGUAAAAUCUUCCUCACUAGGAUGAUAUGAAAAGUCCACACGCAUCAAAGGAUAAAAGGAUGAAAUGGGCUGGGACUGGUUGACGACAUUUGGCCUGAAUUGACUACUUUCUGCCAGACAUAUUCUAAGUGUUCUAUAUGGAAAUGCUAGUUUAAUUCACAGUCUCUACAGGAUUAACAACACAUGUGAUAUUGUUGAUUCUGCAUGAUGAAAUGAGGCACAGAGGACCUAAUCAAUAGCUCGAAAUCACGCAGAUCGUGAGGAGCAAAGCCAGGCUUUGAGUGUAAAGGCCGCUAUGAAUUGACAUAGGAAGAUUUUUGAACCAUUGUCUGAUAGUAAACCAAUUAUCUGAUUGAGACAAUGGAGAAGUUUCCCAUAGAAAUACAGCACUCUCCUAUUGUGUUCUAAAGUGCCUAGUGUUACACCUCAUUCUUCUACAAAAUCAAACAGUGUAAACAAGCAGUGUGGCACAAGAGUGGCAGAAUUUCCAAGAUGGCAUCUGACGGUUAGCCAGGAGAAGAGUACAGAGGACAUGAAUAUGUGAGUGGGUGAAGAGAUUCCGUGUGUCCUGGAGAGGAUUGAACAAGAGGGUCAGCAUGUGCUUUCAACAUGUGGUGUGCUUUCAGCAUGUGGAAUAGCACACAGCUGAAAAAUUAGAUGUCAGAACAUUUCUGGAGCGUUCUACUUCCCGUGCUUAGAGCCAGA
This 2171-nucleotide long non-coding RNA is filed under the name Mus musculus (house mouse). RNAcentral describes it as "long non-coding RNA chr16:72443743-72445914". Lineage: Eukaryota; Metazoa; Chordata; Mammalia; Rodentia; Muridae. The record is from RNAcentral.